AAUUAAUCUGUCACGCCCCGGGACCGGCAGAGGCUCUCCCGGUAGCGCGCCCAGACCCGCCAUAUGUCUACACAUAUAAGGCGUCUACAACAACAGCGGAAAUAAAGCAAGAGAUGAUCUACAACUAGAGAUAUCAGAGCAAGUACACAACUAUAAUCUAUGAUAAAAGAAGUAGGAACAAAACUAAAUAAUAAAGAGGAAACAUAAAGUUAUACAAUAACCAUCUCAAAA
This 231-nucleotide long non-coding RNA is filed under the name Ananas comosus (pineapple). RNAcentral's name for it is "long non-coding RNA (ACOM_LNC023277)". The record is from RNAcentral. Lineage: Eukaryota; Viridiplantae; Streptophyta; Magnoliopsida; Poales; Bromeliaceae.